This 494-nucleotide ribosomal RNA is filed under the name uncultured bacterium. RNAcentral describes it as "partial 16S ribosomal RNA". It matches the Rfam family "Bacterial small subunit ribosomal RNA", at positions 28 to 507 of the family's 1533-position model. The record is from RNAcentral.
GACGAACGCUGGCGGCGUGCUUAACGCAUGCAAGUCGAACGGAAAGGCCUGCUUUCCCUUGUAGAUUGCGGGUACUCGAGUGGCGAACGGGUGAGUAACACGUGAGUGAUCUGCCCCCAACUUGGGUAUAAGCCUGGGAAACUGGGUCUAAUUCCCGAUAGGACUGCAGGGUGGUGCCUGUGGUGGAAAACGAUUUUCUAGUGGUUGGGGAUGAGCUCGCGGCCUAUCAGCUUGUUGGUGGGGUAAUGGCCUACCAAGGCGGCGACGGGUAGCCGGCCUGAGAGGGUGGACGGCCACAUUGGGACUGAGAUACGGCCCAGACUCCUACGGGAGGCAGCAGUGGGGAAUAUUGCACAAUGGGCGGAAGCCUGAUGCAGCGACGCCGCGUGGGGGAUGACGGCCUUCGGGUUGUAAACUCCUUUCGACCGCGAGGAAGCCACCUGGUUGGAAGGGUGGUGACGGUAGUGGUAGAAGAAGCACCGGCUAACUACGUG